GUGAACCUGCGGAAGGAU
Molecule: non-coding RNA, 18 nt
Filed under: Xenopus tropicalis (tropical clawed frog)
Lineage: Eukaryota; Metazoa; Chordata; Amphibia; Anura; Pipidae
Also listed under: 9 other names
Source: RNAcentral